CAGUAGCCACGGGAAUACGGAGGGUGCAAGCGUUAAUCGGAAUUACUGGGCGUAAAGCGCACGCAGGCGGUCUGACAAGUCAGAUGUGAAAUCCCCGGGCUUAACCUGGGAACUGCAUUUGAAACUGUCAGGCUGGAGUCUUGUAGAUGGGGGUAGAAUUCCAGGUGUAGCGGUGAAAUGCGUAGAGAUCUGGAGGAAUACCGGUGGCGAAGGCGGCCCCCUGGACAAAGACUGACGCUCAGGUGCGAAAGCGUGGGGAGCAAACAGGAUUAGAUACCCGAGUAGUCCCUGUCUCUUAUAC
Molecule: ribosomal RNA, 301 nt
Filed under: uncultured bacterium
Lineage: Bacteria
Description: partial 16S ribosomal RNA
Rfam family: Bacterial small subunit ribosomal RNA
Source: RNAcentral